This 56-nucleotide transfer RNA is filed under the name Contracaecum osculatum. RNAcentral describes it as "tRNA-Thr". The record is from RNAcentral. Lineage: Eukaryota; Metazoa; Nematoda; Chromadorea; Rhabditida; Anisakidae.
GCUGUUAUAGUUUAUUAAAAAAUAUGCGAUUUGUAAUCGUGAGAAGGGAGCAGCUU